ACUUACUUCGAAACUUGCACCCCUGGAAAACUCUUGAUGUUAAAAGAGCUUUACAAUCUACAGGUGAAAUGAUCACAGCUCUCAGAAACUCAUCCCUCAACCUUUUUACUCUAGUCCUUUGUGACCUACCAGCAUCCAGCAUCUGAAGAGGUCCUUCACUUAACACCUCUUUUUCACAACAGGAAUAGACAUAACUUUCUCAGAGAUGGAUGUUCCAGCUCUGUUAGUCACUGGGCUGCUUCUAUACUUGAGCAUUGAGAACCAUCUCUAGAAAAUGUUUUUCUUUCACUCUAUUAAUGAUACAAGAUGUCCAGAUGAUUCCUGUAGGAAUGACUGUCCUGGGUUGGACCAAUGACUCAUCAACUCAAGUGAUCAACGUGGACUUCUAGGAAAACAGUGCAAGAACAAGCAAGCAUAUUGAAAGCUAUGUCUGCUGAAUAUUCUCCCAGACCCUCAUAUGUUGUGACUCAGGGACUUCUUCAGUCAGAGGAAGAUUCUGUGAUUAAUAGUUUUCAAAGGAUGUUUCUCCAUGAAGUUGUUUGAAACAUCCACAGCCAGCAAGAUAAUGAAUCUGUAGAUGGCUAAAGUUAGAAACAAGCAGCUCAGUCUCUAAACCCUGUACUUUAUUGCUGUUCUAGAGCAAUUUUUUAUUUUUACUCCUGAUGGCAUUGUAUUGUCCCCUUUCUUUCCAUAGGAAAAGAAAGUCAUGAUGUCACAGUAACUGUCAGCCUGAACACUAUUCAGAAUGUGGGGUAUAUCCCUGCGGCAGGCUAAAUCAAGUGGUCAAAGAAAGCAGUGUAAGUGAAGAUCAUAUCCCAGAGAAGCUGUGGAUGCCCCAUGUGUGGAAGUGUUCAAGACCAGGUUGGAUGGGGCUUUGAACAACCUGGUCUAGUGGAAGAUUAAAGGCUGGAGGAGGAAUUGAGGGAUAAGAGGAAUGAAAACAAGAUGCAGGUCCUUUCUACUCAACAAAUAACCAUACUCUCUAGAAGUGGCUUGGAGCCAGGACUUUGUUUCAAGUGCACCUCUGAACUUGGCCCACCACACUUCCCAGGAGAAAAAAAACAAUAGGAAGGCCUUGAUGGAGAAUGAGAGAAGGAUUGGAUCUUUAGCCACAAGAGGAAUCAAAAUGUCAUGAUGAAGAUUACAAAUGUCAUCUUCCUACACGCAUUUCCUAUGGUUAUUCUGGGAGAAGAGAGAGAGAAUGGGAUUUUCUCCAAGAAGCUCCUUUUUCCUUUUUUUCAUUUCACCUUGAGUUCAAAAUAAAUCAACAGAAGAUGAGGUCUCCACUGUACACUCUUUACUGCGAUGCUUCUCAGAUAGUUUUCUCAUUUGUUAAUAGAAUCAUAGAACCAUUAAGGUUGGAAAAGACCUUCAAGAUCAGCAAGUCCAACCUUUGACCAAAUACCACCAUACUAACUAAAUCAUAUGGUGAAGGUUGAAAUUGAUCUCGUGAUCUUGUUGCACAGAUUUAGGCCAAAUACUUGCUUGAUGGAAUGGAUUCUGAGUAGGGCAUGGCAAGGGUCUUAGUGCUGAAGACCAAGAAUAUCUGUUGCCGAAUACUCCCGGAGCAAGCUGGUGACAAGACCGAGGAUAAGGCACCCUGUGGGGACUAAAAGUAAUACAUGGAGUAGU
This is a long non-coding RNA of Pipra filicauda (Wire-tailed manakin), 1632 nucleotides long. RefSeq lists it as uncharacterized. The record is from RefSeq and is a predicted model, not a curated record. The transcript is spliced from 3 exons. NCBI's taxonomy places the organism in Eukaryota, Metazoa, Chordata, Aves, Passeriformes, Pipridae.